CAGAAAGCCAUGACGUUAGAGAUGGAGAAAGGUGAACUCUCCGACACAAGGCUGGCGGGCAAGUUCAGCUGAGGAAGCAAGUUCGGGUCCUCUCUGCAGAAUAUGGAGUUCAGAUCAAAGCUCACGUAACUCCCACUAAUAAAUGUCCAAAGAAAAUGGGCAGCUCUCGUUUGAGAUUCAAGAAACACAAAAAAAUAUGCACCUUGGGGAGAAUCAGCC
This 219-nucleotide long non-coding RNA is filed under the name Fukomys damarensis (Damara mole-rat). RNAcentral's name for it is "lncRNA (ENSFDAG00000022250.1)". Lineage: Eukaryota; Metazoa; Chordata; Mammalia; Rodentia; Bathyergidae. The record is from RNAcentral.